Long non-coding RNA from Coturnix japonica (Japanese quail), 1914 nucleotides. Lineage: Eukaryota; Metazoa; Chordata; Aves; Galliformes; Phasianidae. The record is from Ensembl.
GGCAAUAAAAAGUGACAUGAAGUAACAUUUCAGUGAAGAAUUGUAUGCAGCGGAGCCAAAUCCUGUCAUUUAAGGCUUUCUGUGAGGUGUGAUUUAUUCUCAUUUGCAAGCUUGGAGAGAGAGAAUGUUUGAGUGUUGGGAAUUAUGCUUAUACUUCUUAAGCUUUGCUACUGACUGCAGGUGUCUGCGCCUUCAGGUUCCCAACUUGGCAUUCCAGAGAGGCUUGAUUCUUGGCACAUGCACAGUCAGCUUGUUUAGAAAAGCUGGACCCCAAGUAGGAAGGAUCUCAAGUGGAACACCACAAAUCACUGGGUUUGAAGAUGAGAGCUAGGACAGACUGCCAUUUUAAACUCAGUUAUGUCAAACAUCUAACAACGUAGCCCACAGUACGAAUCUUCUGAAAUGUGGAGGGUGUGACAGCAGAUCUCUGAUCCAUCACUGAAUUAUUUGAUAAACUUCAAUCAACAGAUGCAAGCAAGAUUCAUAAGAAGUUCCUUUGUAGGAAAGCCCAAACUCACCAAUAGUAAAUGAAAGCCUUCUGUGAAUAAAAUCCUGGAGAAAACUGUACUGCAACUAAAUUACAUGCUGGAUGAGCUUUGGCAAUGAAUCUCACAAAGUUCAUGAAAUUAUGACACACAGCUUCAAAAGGAACCAUGAAAAGUGAAGAAAGACCUGGUACUAAUUCACGCCACACUGUGCUACACAGUGCUCCUGGCUGCAUCGCACCUGUUGAUGUUUAUGUGCCAAGGUACAUUACGCCAACUGCAAUGGCAAGGAAGGUACGGCAGCAACUAAGCCUGCAAACAGGACAGCUGCAUCUCAGGGACAACUGCUCUCCAGCACUGGGCCAGGAACCUGCUUCGACUGCUGGAGCAAAAGUAGAGGUGUGUAUGAGCAGUUUGCAUCUAAAAGAGUUAUCAGGGAAUUGCCAAAAACAAACAAACAAAAAAAAAAGAUAUGUGAUGGUUCAUGUAGUGCAAAAUUAGGAGGACUCAAAUGCUUCUUCUAGAGCACCUCCACCACUGUGUGCUUCUCUUUUCUUAUAUACAAGGAGUUCCUGUAGCAGCCUGCAGUCUUGGUUUAUCUGGGCAGCCAGUGUUCUGCAGGAAUGGCAGAAUAAGCUCCUUACAGAGACAAGCUUUCAGAUCCUGUAGGAUCUCAAAUAACUCUUCAGGAGCUGCUGUUCUCACUCAUUGCUUCUGGUAAAGCAGAUAAGAAAGGCAUCCAGUGAAAUGAUCAGGCAGCUUAUUUGAAACAAGUGAACCUGUUUUAAAUAGACCCAAAUGAGAUAAGAGCCUUGAUAAUGAAGUUAUUGCUGCUUACCUUUUGCUGAAUUUAAAGUCCCCUGCAUUAACAGGAGCUCAGGGAACAUCUUCCCUGCCUGUGACAUCCCAGACAUUCAUCUGAGGUUUUUUGGAGCAUCAGUACCAAACUUCUACAGCAAGCUCAGAUAGUCAGCUCCAGCCAGGUAGUUUUCUCCCACAGGUAAUUCCAGGCCCUCCUGCUGCAGUUUAAAAUGGUGUAUCUUUGUUUAGUGUCCUGAUUAGUGAAUACCUACUGUACUAAAUGCAUGAUGGCUGUAGCUGUAUCCAGGAGCUUUAAGAAGCUGUACUUCCAUUAUGAACCCACUGUAAAUCCUACCUCAAAGCUUUUUUUUGUUUGUUUGUUCUUUGUCAUUUCACUUUCAGACCAUUUCCCCCCAGAAUGGUAAACAGGGAGUUCUGUGAGCACUGUCACGAAUGAAGCCUGCAUUUCAAUAGGUUAAAAUCCCAUUGGUUGGAUUUUUUGGUCUCUGAGAUUUCACCACACUUAGGGUUGACCUCCCCUGCUUCUACCCACCUUCUCAAAUACAGAUCAGGUGGGUCAGUAGAAGGUACUAGGAACAUAUAAACAUGCUGAGUAUAAGAAGCCAGA